AUUGAACGCUGGCGGCAGGCCUAACACAUGCAAGUCGAGCGGAUGAAGGGAGCUUGCUCCUGGAUUCAGCGGCGGACGGGUGAGUAAUGCCUAGGAAUCUGCCUGGUAGUGGGGGAUAACGUCCGGAAACGGGCGCUAAUACCGCAUACGUCCUGAGGGAGAAAGUGGGGGAUCUUCGGACCUCACGCUAUCAGAUGAGCCUAGGUCGGAUUAGCUAGUUGGUGGGGUAAAGGCCUACCAAGGCGACGAUCCGUAACUGGUCUGAGAGGAUGAUCAGUCACACUGGAACUGAGACACGGUCCAGACUCCGACGGGAGGGAGCAGUGGGGAAUAUUGGACAAUGGGCGAAUGCCUGAUCCAGCCAUGGCGCGUGUGUGAAGAAGGUCUUCGGAUUGUAAAGCACUUUAAGUUGGGAGGAAGGGCAGUAAGUUAAUACCUGGCUGUUUUGACGUAACCAACAGAAUAAGCACCGGCUAACUUCGUG
RNAcentral lists this ribosomal RNA (484 nucleotides) under uncultured bacterium. RNAcentral describes it as "partial 16S ribosomal RNA". It matches the Rfam family "Bacterial small subunit ribosomal RNA", at positions 30 to 507 of the family's 1533-position model. The record is from RNAcentral.